Molecule: transfer RNA, 77 nt
Filed under: Bacillus subtilis subsp. subtilis str. BSP1
Lineage: Bacteria; Bacillati; Bacillota; Bacilli; Caryophanales; Bacillaceae
Description: tRNA-Arg
Source: RNAcentral
UGAAAAUGGCUUUGGCGCAGUGGAUACGCUGGGGGAGGACGGCAAAGUUCAUGAUCCGGAACGCAUUCAAUAUUUAA